UCCCAUUCGUCAUGUCUCGGUGACCUCUGC
Molecule: non-coding RNA, 30 nt
Filed under: Mus musculus (house mouse)
Lineage: Eukaryota; Metazoa; Chordata; Mammalia; Rodentia; Muridae
Source: RNAcentral